UACGUAGGGGGCAAGCGUUAUCCGGAAUCACUGGGUGUAAAGGGAGCGUAGACGGCUGAGCAAGCCUGAAGUGAAAGGCGGGGGCCCAACCCCCGGACUGCUUUGGGAACUGUACGGCUGGAGUGCAGGAGAGGUAAGUGGAAUUCAUAGUGUAGCGGUGAAAUGCAUAGAUAUCACGCAGAACUCCGAUUGCGAAGGCAGCAUGCCGGCUCCACACUGACGCUGAGGCACGAAAGCGUGGGUAUCGAACAGG
RNAcentral lists this ribosomal RNA (253 nucleotides) under uncultured Eubacteriales bacterium. Its description in RNAcentral is "uncultured Clostridiales bacterium partial 16S ribosomal RNA". It matches the Rfam family "Bacterial small subunit ribosomal RNA", at positions 524 to 776 of the family's 1533-position model. Lineage: Bacteria; Bacillati; Bacillota; Clostridia; Eubacteriales. The record is from RNAcentral.